This 253-nucleotide ribosomal RNA is filed under the name uncultured bacterium. RNAcentral describes it as "partial 16S ribosomal RNA". It matches the Rfam family "Bacterial small subunit ribosomal RNA", at positions 524 to 776 of the family's 1533-position model. The record is from RNAcentral.
UACGUAGGUGGCGAGCGUUGUCCGGAUUUACUGGGCGUAAAGGAUGCGUAGGCGGACAUUUAAGUCAGAUGUGAAAUACCCGAGCUUAACUUGGGUGCUGCAUUUGAAACUGGGUGUCUAGAGUGCAGGAGAGGUAAGUGGAAUUCCUAGUGUAGCGGUGAAAUGCGUAGAUAUCAGGAGGAACACCAAUAGCGAAGGCAGCUCGCUGGGACGGUACUGACGCUGAGGCGCGAAAGCGUGGGGAGCAAACAGG